Drosophila pseudoobscura is the source of this 3645-nucleotide long non-coding RNA. RefSeq lists it as uncharacterized. The transcript is spliced from 8 exons. The record is from RefSeq and is a predicted model, not a curated record. Lineage: Eukaryota; Metazoa; Arthropoda; Insecta; Diptera; Drosophilidae.
AUUCAAUGACUUGGAGGCCUUAAAGGAAGCACACCGAACACUAGAAAAACAUCUCCAAUUACUGCUGUUGAGGCCUAUUGUGAAGGUAUAUGAUCCGGCUAACAUCCAUGCAAAAUGUAAACAGUAUGUAAUGAAAGGCCUGUAUCAAGCAUACGCUCGUGGCAUAUGUGUUAUGUUUCAACCGGAAGAAAAUUACAAUUCUAUGACAUGGAGUCCUCAAAGGAAGCACACCGAAAACUAGAAAAACAUCUCCAAAUGACUGCUGUUCAGGCCUAUUGUUAAGGUAUCUGAUCCAGUAAACAUCCAUGCAAAAUGUAAACAGUAUGUAAUGAAAGGCCUGUAUCAAGCAUACGCAUACGCUCGAUGCGAAUGGAAAUGAUAAAGGAAAAAGAAAUCGUUCACGCUUUCCCCCAAAGGAGUUCAAAAAGUAAGGUGUUAUGUUUCAUAUUUAAACUAUUUGUAUUCUUUUUUCCUUUCGUUUUCUCUAUGAAAAUGGUGCUGAGGCUUCCUGGACUAAUGGAGGUAUAGAUUUUUGUGCCCAUUUUAUGUACUGCCAAGAGAUGAUCGUUCUUCGAUACGUCAGAGUCUAUCAAUGGAAAAGAUGUCGAUACAAACUCCAUUUCAACGCACCUCAGCCUCGUUCCAAAUGACUUAAGCCAAAAACAAAUGUACAAGCCAAUCGGCUCGUCCUGGCUCAUGAGGAUAACUUGCCUCCGCUACAGUGGCAACUGGUUCGGUUCGGAUCGUUCCUGUGAUCGCUGGCCACGAUAAUCAAAUCCGAGUAGUAGAUUUCAAAACAGCGAUUGGAGUUUUUCUUCACGUAAUCCACAAAGUUGCCCCUAAAUCAGGUAUUCGUACCGCCAUUGUCCUCGAGUCAAAUUGCCCAAGACGCUGGUAUGCCGUGAGUCGGUAAAGUUUCUACCACCGUUCUCUGCUACUUGCUUACUAAGACGUCAUCGGAUUGGGACAAUCCACUCGAUGCGGGGACUGGGGAGCAGCCGAAAACAUAUGCCGAGCGAGCGACAAAAGUUCGAAAAUUAAAAGUUUCCGCUGCGGCUCUGCCAGAAAGUAUGGAAAAGUCGCAGACCCAGAUGGAGCACCGGAGGAGAAGCGGGAUAUGGAUACGGAUACAGAGAAGCGACUGCGGCAAACGAACUGCAAAUGUGCAGGCGUAUUCGUGUGUGGAAAACCAUGAUAUUCAUAUGCAGCAAAAAGGAGUGUCAGGCGGAUAACUACUAGUUAUAUAUAACAGAUCGGAAGGUCUAGAUUACCUGGAAAAACUUGAUGCCGAUAAAGAAUACAAUAUAUACUUGAUGUUCUUGAAAAUGCAAAAUCAUAAUGCCCUCUGGAAGCGUAUAAAAAGAGAAAGCAGCACAAGCCAGCCAAUUUCAGACCAAGUCCUGGAAAUGGACCAACUCCAAGUGCUGUAGGUCCUGCUGCUCCUGCUGCUGCUGGUGCUGCUUUCGUUCUCUCUCCCGAUGAUGUGUCUUAUCUUGUCCUGCAGUGGCUGAGCGAUGCCAGCGCAUCCUGGAAGCUUUUUAUCUUGGCGUCAUGUUGAUGUUUGUCGGAAACUUGAUUAUUUUCAUCGUUUUUUUCAGAGCCAGCGAAUGGGUCUCCAUGUGGCUGAAGAUGUUUGGAUGCUGGCGGCGGUUGAGAGCAAAGAAGCAGUCUGGGAUUAGCCCUCCCACAGAAACCCACAAAAUGGCAGGGAAAAACACGACAGCCAAACAAAAAAAAACGAAAAAAAAACUUGCACGAUAUUCUGUGGAUAGAAGUUGAAAAUAAGGAGUUUCGCAGCAAUGUAAAUGCAACUUUAACUUCUCAUACCCGCAACAAGAGUUCGGGGUUACAGGUUGCUCUGGUUUGACUGUUUCCUGUUGUUUUUGACAAACAAGGAGAGCACACUCGUUCCUCGUAAGUAAAAUAGGUUGUAAUAAGAGCAGUUAACAACAUGAGUGAGGCCAAGGCGAGCGGAACAGGACGAGGCCAAGACACCUGAACGUCACGGCACAAACUCGUGUACAGUGGAGAUGCCUUCUAAUGGACAGAAGGAGUUGCGUACACCAAGAAAGUAGUAAAUCUUAAGAACGAAAUGGAAAGUUUAAUGGAACGAAAAACUCCCAUGUUGAAAAGUUUAUUUCAACAAUGUAUUUGAGAGGAUUAAAAAGGUGUGCAUGCAUCAUAAGGGAAAGCAUAGAAAAGAGCCCACACUCACUGUACCUAUGCCAAAACCGCUACAGGGGUUCUGCCCUGUGCCACAGAGCAUGGAAAACGCAGCGGCAGGGACCGAGGGAGCGCUCCUGACAACUGACAACUCCUUUAAAAUGUAGUUACUGUUGUUAUUAUUCAACCUUAAUGAACUUAACAAGCUCGCACAACGACGACGACGGCUACGAGGACGAAGACGACAUGCUGCCAGGCCGGCAGCAGUCGGACACAGGAAUCCCGCCCCCACCUAUAGACCACCAAGCCCACCUCCACACAAGCAGCCAGUCAGACAGACAGACAGACAGACGAGCAAGUCAAACAUAGAGGGAAAGGCAGAGACAGGGAGAGAGUGGAAGAAUGGAAGAGGACGGUAAGUACCUCUCAAUGGCGCAGGGUCACGUAACUCAAAUAAAGCGCCAAAGCCACCAGCCGCAAAAAAAAAUCACAAAAGAACCAAAGGAAAACAACAAAAUGAAGCGAAGACAGGGCAGGACAGUGCACGCCGCCAAGGGAUUGAGCGGCACAGGCCACCUUUACGCCCUGUCCCAUGCACAUUGUGCAUUUUGGCCCUCGCCAAAGCCGAGGCAAAUUAAAAAUGUUUCACAAAUAUUGGGAGAACGAGGCCGGAACACAGAGAGCGGAACGCUGCGGACGGGCUCGCAAGGCAAGAGCUUAAACGGAUAUGAUUAUUGUAUUUCGUAUCGAUUGCAUCAAAUAUUGAGGGGCAGCAUACUUCAGAAUAUUCUUUUCAAACAUAUGAACUUGGGAUUUGAUAGAUUGAUGGCCAGCUUGCCCGCUUAAUGUUCCGAAGGCUCUGCCAUUCUUCACUUAUUAUUGACCUACGGGUUUCUUUUAUAUCCGAAAAGACACUAAUAAAAAAGAAAUAGGCCCCUCCCCUGAUUACAAUUAGCUGAAUUUAAUUGCCUAUAGAGCGAUAUAAGGUAUUCUGAUCAUGAAAUCUCAGAUUACGGUCUACACGUGGCUGAAUCGAAUACUUGUAAAUAUUAUUCUUCUCCGAAUACACCGAUUGGAUUAGACGCCGCGCUGCAACGAGGUUGGGUGUGCAAUACGGUCAGGUGGAAGGUUGAACUAGACGUCCCGUAGAGCCCUCGCAUGUGACCUCCACUUCACAACCACCAGCGAAGAUAUCCCGGCCAUCAAUUUGCCAAAAGUGCUCGAAGCCAACGCUUCGGGAGUUCCUUAAAGUGAGAUCUCUGCCCCUCUCAGGGAUCUUCUUGCCACACCAAGUGCAAUGCGGGUCGCCUCAGAAGCUUUACGCCUGCGUUGUAGCAUCCUAAAAUUUUAGUGAAACUUUUACAUAGACUAUAUACGGAUAGAAUCGAUGCGGACUCGGAAAUGUACUUGGACCAUUCUUUGACGCUGAUUUGAAUUUGUGAUGUGGAGUAGGACUACUGCGGAUACCACGAUAAAAAAAGG